GGUUAAGUUAAUAAGGGCGCACGGUGGAUGCCUUGGCACUAGAAGCCGAUGAAGGACGUGACUAACGACGAAAUGCCUUGGGGAGCUGUAAGUAAGCAAUGAUCCAGGGAUGUCCGAAUGGGGGAACCCGGCAGGUAAUGCCUGUCACUCACUACUGUUAAGGUAGUGAAGAGGAAGACGCAGUGAACUGAAACAUCUAAGUAGCUGCAGGAAGAGAAAGCAAAAGCGAUUGCCUUAGUAGCGGCGAGCGAAACGGCAGGAGGGCAAACCGAGGAGUUUACUCCUCGGGGUUGUAGGACUGCAAUGUGGACUUAAAGAGUAUAGAAGAACUACCUGGGAAGGUAGGCCAAAGAGAGUAAUAGCCUCGUAUUUGAAAUAUUCUUUAUACCUAGCAGUAUCCUGAGUACGGCGAGACACGCGAAAUCUCGUCGGAAUCCGGGAGGACCAUCUCCCAACCCUAAAUAC
Molecule: ribosomal RNA, 465 nt
Filed under: Streptococcus suis
Lineage: Bacteria; Bacillati; Bacillota; Bacilli; Lactobacillales; Streptococcaceae
Description: partial 23S ribosomal RNA
Rfam family: Bacterial large subunit ribosomal RNA
Source: RNAcentral